Molecule: long non-coding RNA, 8950 nt
Filed under: Homo sapiens (human)
Lineage: Eukaryota; Metazoa; Chordata; Mammalia; Primates; Hominidae
Description: HSALNT0302973
Source: RNAcentral
GCAAUCUCAGCUCACUGCAACCUCCGCCUCCCGGGUUCAAGAGGUGUUACAGUUCCAUGACUGCUCCUGUAGAGCAGGACUACUGUGUAGGGAGAGAGUAGCCGUUCAGGGCCAUUCUGCAGUCAUAUUUACACGCACUUUAAUUGCAUGCAGAUAAAGGAACAGUUUAUGCAGCAAUUUCUAGGGAAGGGAUAGUAACUUUUGGGUCAUUGGGUCAUUGCCAUGGAAAAGGGUGGUAACGCCCACAUGUUGCUAUGGCAACGGUGAAUUGACCCGGCACACUAGUGGGCGUGUCUGAUUGAAAGCGGCUUUCUCUGGGGCCGUUUUAGCUAGUCCUCAAUCUGGUCCCGUGUCCAAGUGUCCAAGCCAUGCCUCUGGAGUUGAGUGCCACCUCCUACCUCACCUUGUUGAAUAGAAAAUGAAUGAGUGACAGUAUGAAUGAAUGGACACCUGUUAAAAGAGCCAUCUAUUACAGCUAAAUGAAUGAAGGGCAUAGACAGUCCUUUGGUUGUUUUUCCAACUAGAAAUCUCUCCCUGUGUUCUGUGAUGGCCUAAGUCUGGCCCUGCUCAAGUGAGGGACUUCCUCGAUGGGCUGGUCUCAUUCUUGUGCCCUCCAGGACAGCAGGGCAGAGGGAGAGGGAAAUGGGAGGGGCUGAGGGACAACGUGGCUCUUCUGGGAGCCUCUUUACCCUGUGAAAUUUCCUCUGGCAGCUUUCCCCCUUGGCCUGCAGCCUGUGCCGGCCCCUGCCCCCAACUCAUUGGCUUUGGUUACAGGGACAGGCCCAGAGUCAAGAACAAUAAAGGGAGGAGGGGCCUGCUUCACAGGGUCAGGGGUCAGGGAGGGGGUUUGAAGGGUGAGGAGAUUGGCUCUGUGUAGCAUCCGGUUUCAAACAACUCUGUUUAGAAAUAGAAGAGAAGCCCUCCGGAAAAUGGAAGGGCUCUGGCAGGCCUCCCAGCUGGCCAAGGAACAGCAAGUUCCUGCCAAUAUGUGACGGAAGUGGGGGAUUUGUGGGGAGGGAGGAGGGAAGAGGGCACUGGAGGGAGUAGACACAACCUAGCAACAUUUUCCCUGCUAAAAACCUUGCUCUGAAGUAAACAUGGAGGGUUCUUAUUCUUCCUGGCUGUGUGCACUCGGGCCAGCCUACUUCCUGUGGGCGCAAUUAUUCCCAGGGGUGUGUGUUUUCGUUUUUAAAGACAGAGAAUUAUAAGCUAUUCAUGGUCACUGCCUGAGAAUUCUUUGGAAUAAUGAGAUAGAAAAAUCAUCUCUACUGUUCACAUUUCUGAGGAAGAACAAGCCUUCUAGACUCUCUCCUAGGAUGGGGCUGGGAAACUCACUUUUUCUCCUGCUAAGCUCCUUCUCAGUCCAUUAGAGCCAGAGGGCCAAUAGGGGCCUCUUCGUGCUUUGUAGGCUAGAGGGUGUAAAGAACCUAGAUGUGCAGGAAAUCUGCUCUGGCUGAUCAGGCAGGUGAACUCGGGGAGGGAGAGCUCUAAGGGAGGACCAAAUGAGACAGUGGAGAUGGCGGCUCGGCUUCAGCUCACCCCUGCUGGAGCAUUCUUAGUGAUCACAAAACCCACACUACUGCCUCGCUGAUACCAUAAUGUGCAACCAUGCCUUUUACUUUACAAAUUUCAGGCACUGGCCUUUGGAGAUAACAAGGUUGUGAAGUGUCCCACUUCGGGAAGGAAUGCUAACAAUUGAGUUACCGCCUUGUUGCCACUGACCAGAGCAUCAGGUGGUCCAUUACUCAAGAUAACCGUGGCAACCAGAUAUGCUGACCCUCAUCCCCUACCCUCAGGUGCUUUGCCCAGCCCACCCUGUAUACCUCAUGCCCCAUGUUAAUUCCUGCGCUUUGCCUAAUAAAAAAGCAGGGCUCUUUUGGGGGAGUAAGUCAGGGAAUUCUCUCUCUGUCUCUGUCUCUGUCUCUCUCUCUCUCUCUCUCGCUGCCUCUUUUAUGUCCAGGCAUAAGCUCCAGUGAAGCCUUGUUUGGAAAAACUCUUUGGGCCUUGUGUGAAUUUCUAUUGCAUUGAGAGCCCAAGAAUCAUGGUUGGUAAUGUGAGGGGCCUUAUUGAGGGGGGGCAAGUCAUUCCACAUUUUCCAAAUGAGACCGAAGUGGAUACACAGACUAACAAUAACUGCAGUGACUCAUUCUCCUUUCCAGAACCUCAACUCACAGCUGUCCCCAGUGGCUUUGUGGCAUUUCACAACAGUUUUGACUUUAGAACCUCUCUCACCUUGGCCCCCACUCCAGAGCCAAAGGAACCCCCACAUCUCAGGAAGUAGGUUAUGAAUCUGGGAUACCCUGGAAGCCCAGAUGCAAAACCCAUAUUAGGGAGGAGGAAAUGGGGAAAAUGAAUGUUUUUUAAAGCCACCUUCUACACAAGCCUCCCCAAGAAGGGUGGAUCAUCUUUGCUGCUAUAGGAACUCUUAUUCAUUGCUGGUGGAGGGUCCAAAGAGAUAAUGUUAAAGUAUUGAUUUGAGCUGAAGGAGUGAAUUAUGCUAAUAAUUAGAUUAUUAAUCCUUUUACAAAUCUAACACUAUCCAAUUAUUUUAACAAAGAUGAAGGAGAAACUAAUGAGUGUUCCAUAAUAUCAGUAUUGGACAACGUAGCUUUAGAGCUUUAUGGUCACAGAAAAGGAAAAAAAAUUGAAUUUGUAUACAUUUUAAGAGAAAUGAUAAGGCGAUUAAUAAAUGACUUUGAUCAUAAAUGUAUAUUAUAUCAGGAUAAAGUUCUUUAGGGAAAGAGGAGUGGAAAUACAAACUCAAGGAGAAAAAAGGAAUAAUGUAAAAUUUCUGACUGUUAAAGAAGAGCUUGUUCGUGAUUUUUUUUAAAAAAAUGGAACAUAUUAAAUUGCUAAAACAUUCCAAUUCUAUUUUGAUACAUUUAAAUAGUGGCUUAUAGUUAUUCCAAAAUGUUUAACUGUUAAAAUGUUAAAAGAUUUCAAAUUUACAGUAAAAUGUAACAUUUUUCAGCUAUUUAAACUCAAAAUGAGAUUUAAAAUACCAACACAAAAAUUUUAAGGCAUCCCUUCAGAGUAGAGGAGGAAAAAAAAACUGUCAAAGGGGAUAUAUAAUGUUCCAACAUUAUUUUAGGGGACAUGCAAUGCAAGCAAAAUACUUGAAGACUCCUGAGCUGGACAGCAUUUGUGUUCUUUUCAACUCUUUGGAUUUUGUGGAUGGGGUCUAAGAGGUUACUCUGGUGAGUGGGCACUGCAAAGAGCAGGACACCUAUCUCCAAAUGUAAAGGUUCACUUACAACCAAGUCUCCAAACAAAACAAAGUAGAAACAAGCCAACAAAUAAAACCCACCAUCUCCUUCUCUUAUACACACACACACACACACACACACAGAGCAGACCCCCCAAGCCCCCCAGUAGUUGUUCCAGUAUAGGCCGUUCAUCAACCUGUGAAAACAUGAGCUUCGUUAGCAACAGGGCAUGGUCUGAUCCCUGGGAAAUCUCUGGAGCUGGGAGUGGCCUCAAAGAGGAUCAUUAAAGAUCAAAAACCCCACUUGAAGUUGUUUGUUCUGCUGCAGUGUAAAUCCUCUUGGCUGAGCAGCCCUUGACAGAGUCUGCUGCCUAAACAGAAGUCUUAGACGGGUGUUUGGUUUGUUUUCUGUGGAAAUCAAGGCAAAGGUCUGAGUUCCACAUCUGAGUGCAGACCCAGGACAGUGUACACGGGAUGGCAAAGUGACUCAAACUGAAAGAACUCAGUGGAAGCAGAAACUAGGAGCCAGAGGUGAGAACAUAAGCCUCCCCACCCCCAAAUGGAGAAUAUGGAGACAUCCUGGGGACAGUGGCCUUUCCAGGCACGUAGAGGGUUCAUGAGCUUGCAUUUUGUCAUGCAUGAGGAGCCCAGCUUGCUUAUAUUCAGCUCUGCGUGGAUUCCUCGUGCUGUUGUCCUACUCCAGGUGUCAGGAAUAGCUCAGCCCUUCCCAGAGGCAGCAAGAGAGCAAGAAGGACAGAGGAGACUGAGCUGGCAGGUCUCUAAAUGACCUCAAGUCACCACAGCCACUGGUGCUGAAGGAAAUGGGAAAAUAGUCUCGUGACCCAGCGAGUGCUUCCCAUGCAGUCUGUCAUCUCUGGAGGCCUCAGAACCUGGUGUCACAUUACAGGGUGAAUGCCAGGGACAAGCUAAAGAGAGGAGAAGGUAUGACAUAGCUCCACCUACAUGCAAGGGGAGCCAGGAAGUGCAAUCCCUGGCUGGGCUGCCACGUCUCAGAAACCAUUAAGCCUAUGGAAGGUCUCUGGAUUUGAUGGCAAAUGGCAGCAGAAAUGUGGAAAAGAUCAAAGUGAUGUCAAGGUUGAUCUCUGAGUUUGGCAUGGCUGAACUCAAACAUCAUUUGCCAUGGACCCACAGUGUCUUCAGUAGCUGAGUGUGGUGUCAUUCCCCUAUGAUAUGUGCACUCAAUUGCUGGCCAGUUUUUGUUUUUUGUUUUUGAGAGAGUCUCGCUUUGUCUCCUAGGCUGGAGUGCAGUGGCACGAUCUCGGCUCACUGCAACCUCCGCCUCCCGGGUUCAAGUGAUUUUCCUGCCUCAGCCUCCCGAGUAGCUGAGAUUACAGGCAUGUGCCAGCAGGCCCGGCUAAUUUUUUUUGUAAUUUUAGUAGAGACGGGGUUUUGCCAUGUUGGCCAGGCUGGUCUCGAGCUCCUGGCCUCAAGUGAUCCACCUGCCUCCACCUCCCAAAGUGCUGGGAUUACAGGUGUGAGCCACUGUACCUGGCCCCAAAGUUUUAGAAAUUGGAUCAUUUUAAAUGUUGGAGGGGAGUUCAUUGUUUAGGAUGGCUGUGUGGCAAAUCUUUUUUUAAAGUAAGUAAUUCUCCUCUAUUAUAAGUCACCUCCUGAUCUCUACAUUUAAGGUUUGCUGUCCUGGAUGUGUUCACCUAUGAAUGUAAGUGUGCUGAGAUACACAGUGCAAGGCUGAAGUCAGAGUACACCACUGAUGAACCCCUGGGAACUGGUAACCCAGCCAGGGAAUGAACAUCUUUUAUGAAUCAGUUUAUCCACCAAACACUUGCAGAGAGCCUAUCCCAUGCCACCCCUGAGGGCACGGUGAUGGAGAAGAUAUGCUUCCUGCCUCCAAGAACCCCAUAGUCUAGUGGCAGAGACAAGCAGGUACAUAGCUGCCUAUAGUACAGCAUCACAGGUGCCAUAACAUUGUGUAAACUGGGAAUAAUUCUAUUCUCUGGAUAUAGAACAUCUAACCAAGAUAUUGAGUAUCUGGCUUCCCCUUCCCCACACUGGCCCUCACUGGGAUCCAUGUCUAAUAUUAUGAAAGUCACACAAUAUCAUUAUAAACUAAUCAUAAAUGGCACUGUCAGUUUGCUACAAAAACUUAUUCAGAAAAUAUUCAGAUUCUCCCAUCAACAUAUGCCGCUAUGUUGGCAAAAGCUCUGAUUUAAAAUACUUAUUUCGUUUUCCUCUCCGAUUUUGUUCUAGUCUUCAAAAUGAUUUCAUACAACAUAGCACUGAGUUCCUUAGUUCCUCUGACCCCUGCCAGAUCUGAAGCUGUGAUGUUCAAAAGUCAGGGCAGAGUCCAUCUUAUGAUUGAGUUUCAUAAGAGUCUAAGCCACUGAUCAACAUACUGUGGCAGAGUAAGCUUUCUGGGUUCCAGAAUUUAUUGUGAGUGGGCUGAGGGAGUUGAGAAAUGGCAUGGGAGGCCUAAAGAGAAAAUAACUUUUGAAUGAAAAUUAUAGGAAAGUGGAUUUGAGAUCAAAACAAAGGAAGGUUGAUCAUAGUUGGAAUCAUUUAAGAUUGGUGGGGGUAGUGGGCUUCUGGUUCUUAACCCAGGCCAGGCAGAGGUGUGACAACAGUCAGGGGUUUCUAAACAGGGUGGGAGGUUAGAUGAGAAUAGCCUUCAACCCUUUGUGUUGAACUAAAAUCCUAGCUCUGCUUUCAACUCCUAGACUCUGCUUCAUCAUUGCUAAGUUGGAAAGAGCAAGCAAUUGAGAGUCCCUGCUGGCCACAGCUGGGGUGCCCCAGACCACAGCACUGAGCCUCAAAGGCAAGUGAGCAUAGUGUUGGGAGCUGGGCUUCUGGAUCCAUCAACUCCAUCUGAUGACUCGGAAGUUCCUUCAGUUCCCAACACUGGAGUCCAGCAAGGCUGGUUUGUCUUGUUUUAAUUAUUAUUUAGAUGACUGUUUGGCUCAUACCUGAGCAAGGUUCAAAUCAAGUCAGACCUGUUAAUUUAAUCAAAGUUAUAUAAUCACAUUUGGGCACUUAAAUGUAAACCAAUUAUGUUGGAAGCCAAGUAUCUUGUACUCAGGAGGGAGUUCUAAUAAGUGCUGGGAAUGUAUGCUAAUGCACAAAGCCUAACCCCCAGAGUGGAGGGUGGAGCACUCCAGGGCACUCCUGUUUCGGUGACGUUGUUUUAAUAGCUAGUGCUCUGGGUGCAGUCUGGGAAGAUAUUGGAAACAUCUCAAGCAAGUAUGACAUCCAUUUUACCCAAGCCCAUGGAACCCAUUAUGUUUGGAACAUGUCUGUCUGUGGCAUUUGGCUUGGCUUAUAAAUGCACUAUCAGAAUCUAUAGGAGGCCUUCGCAACAAGACGUGUCUUGGCCUUUCUGGUUAUCAGCAAUCCCUCCACCUCUCUCUUAACAAACAUAUGCCAUAAGUCCUGAUCAGGCAUUUAGUUUUUUCACUUGGACCUUUUCCUAGUUCCUAGUCUCAACCCCAAUGCCUCCUAAUCUUGUACUUCUUCAAAUACUGGCCCCCCUCUACUAUGAGAGAGAGAGGAAAGUAGGGAGGAGAAGGAGGAAAAGUUAUUGAGUUGAUAUGAGGGUAGUCAACCUAAAGCAACAAUCAGGAGUAAGGUACUGGACUUGAGUUUGAAGUGUUUGUCACUAAACUCUCUCAAACUCUUCCAGGCUAACUAGCCUCAGAGGGCUUCUAGCCCAUAGUCUCCUUGUAUUUUCUGCCCUCCUCACUUGGAGUGGGAGGGAACCAGAUGUCCAGUCUUUGUCCCGUGUUAAGAACUGGCCUGGCAGGCUUUGUUGAGACCAUCCAGACUUGAAAGCCUCACAACCAGAUGCCAUCACAGGCACUUUCUGCUCUUAACCUUUGUCUGUGUCUCCUACAUGAACUCAUCAGACUGCCUCUGAAGAGGGACAUUCUAGGGACAGUUUCAUCUUCAUCACCAUCCUGGAUAGGGAACCCUUCCAGACUCAGAGUUGCAAAAGUCAGGGAGGGGCUGCUCACUGGAGGUGGAGUCCUUUGGCCAGGUUUCACUGUAAACACAUGGCUAAAAUGUGUCGCACAUGGACAGGCAUGCUAGUGUGCUCUGGAUACAUGCUAGUGUGCCCCAGAUAUAUGCUAGUGUGCCCCGUAUAGCUUCUGGCUAAAGGACACACCUCAGCAAGGCCAAAUGAGGCAUCAGGAUGAACUCUUCAAAUAGACUUCAUUAGACCCACAGAAGACUAACCUUUGCCUGACUUUGGAUUACCCCUUUCUUGCCAGGAAUUAUGUUCAAUGACUAUAUCUGGAACUAGAGGUCUUGAUAGCCACACUUUGCUUGGUGUGGCUUCUCAGUCUUUUAAGGACAUGGCUAUCAAGGGCUCAUGUUUAUUCCAGGUCAGCCCUUUACCCCUUUCCUCCAGGGGCAUCUAUGGCAACAAAAGACCAUGACAUCUGGCAGGGCUGGCAGGACUAUUUAGUUUAGGCAGGAAUGUGGGUGUUAGCAUGUCAGAGUACAUCUGAGAAAACAUUCCAAACCAACCUUUCCACACUGGGAACUCAACCCCCAGGAAUCACCAAAGAUAAGGGCAACAGUCUUAUCUCUCGAGGGAAGUUCAGGGUAAAGUCCACUCCUGCUGUGGACCAGAGCUCAGGGAAGAAGAAAGCUCAGGCUGGCUCUGCCUGUCCACUUGAUGAACUUCCACAAAUGCCACUCUGGGAGCUGAGGCAUAUGAAGUGGGGAAGAAAAUACCAGCCCUGCCCUGGAGCUCUGGGAUGGUGGCUGUACACCCCUAAAGAUGCCAGCAGAUCUGAACUGUGGCCUAUGUGUGUUUGGGAAUUGAGAAAUAAGGAGAUAGAGGGACAGCAGGCAGGAAAAACUACAAUUAGUCUCAGCUCACACAGAUUUGGGAGUAUGCAGAUCUGAAUUGUGGCCUCCAUGUGUUUGGCUGAAGGAUAAUGAUCUCAGGCCCAGACUUUUUUUUUUUUUUGUAUCACUCGCUCAGGGGGCUCUGACCAGGAGCUUCUUUCAGAUGACACAGAUCCCGAGGAGCCACUUGCCUUCUACCCAUGACACUUCUAAGAGUGACUCUUGCCAUGUGACCAUAGAGAUAAGUGAAGUUUUCUCCAAUGACAUCAUUAAGAAGUCUAAACUUCCCCAAAGGGAGAGGCUGUGACUAGGAACACAAAUGUCUCAGUGUAUCACACUCAUGCUCCCAGAUCUGUGGGCAGAAAAAGAAAUCAUAGAAUGGUGCAUAUCCUAAAAAUAAAAAGGAAAUUGCUUUUCAAGUUAUGAAAUUUGGCCCUUCUCAUUGUGAGUUUAAAGUACAUGUUACUGCUUCAGUUUCUAAAACAGGAGGUGGCCAAAUUCAGAGUUUAAAAUGUCUAAGUGGUUAUUUGAAAACAGAUAUUUAGAGGCAACUGAGAGAAGAAUACUGGGGCCAUGGGUCUGCAGUCACUUUCCCAGCAGUGCUCUGAGGCCUUGGGUCUCAUAAAAGGUAAUCAUAGUUACGCCUUUUAAAGAAAGCUGAGUCUAACUGUAGCUUUUCCUGCCUGUUGUCCCUCUAUCUCCUUACUUCCCAAUUCUAUCUAUCUUUCAAAACCCAGCUCAAAUCCCACCUCCUUCCAUAAGUCUUCCAUUGUUUAAUAUAGUUGGAAUUUACCUCUCCCUCCUCUAACUCCCAUGGCAUUUUAUUUACACCUCUCUGAUGGCCACUUUCUACUUUCUAUAAGGUAAGUUAUAUACUUGUUUUAUAUCAAUAAAUUUCAAAAUAUUGAAAUCUUA